CUCUAUCUUUCCAUAUCAUGAUAUGUGUAAAAAAGUGUUAAGUUAACCCUUAAAAAAUGAUUAAAGUCAAAUAUGUGAAAUUAGGGUGUGUUUAGGUGGUAAAAAGAAGGAACCCCAUGGGAAGGACAUUUUAAACCAAAACAAAGUUUUUUUUUUGUUAUUGUUGUAAUUUAUGCAACUUUGUUCUUGAAAAAUAAAAUUUGUUUUGUGUGUAUUUAAUACCUUUACACAACUUUUCAAUGAUAAUGCGGAAUAUCGCUAAAUUUUACCUACAUGUAACAGGUAAGUUUACAAGCAUCGACGUGGCUCCAUCGUUAGAGCAUAGAACUGUCAAUGAAAGUUUGUUUCAAAGAGAGGGUUCAAAUAUCUCACAUAUGUUUUGCACUGUUUUGUGUUGAAAUAUUCAAAUUUAAUGAUAGCAUCAUAUUUUUAGGAUGUUUGUUUAAUUCCUAUAUUGAUAAUGGAU
Molecule: long non-coding RNA, 466 nt
Filed under: Mytilus galloprovincialis (Mediterranean mussel)
Lineage: Eukaryota; Metazoa; Mollusca; Bivalvia; Mytilida; Mytilidae
Source: RNAcentral